Pelobates cultripes (western spadefoot toad) is the source of this 123-nucleotide non-coding RNA. Lineage: Eukaryota; Metazoa; Chordata; Amphibia; Anura; Pelobatidae. The record is from the annotation of a GenBank genome assembly.
AUGGGACGGGGAGAGGAGGGAGAAGGAAAACACUAUGGGACGGGGAGAGGGGGGAGAAGGAAAACACUUUUUCCUUUUCCCCGUCCCUUAGUGUUUUUUUCCUUCUCCCUGUCCCAAAAACAC